This 479-nucleotide ribosomal RNA is filed under the name Shigella sonnei. RNAcentral describes it as "partial 23S ribosomal RNA". It matches the Rfam family "Bacterial large subunit ribosomal RNA", at positions 462 to 942 of the family's 2925-position model. The record is from RNAcentral. Lineage: Bacteria; Pseudomonadati; Pseudomonadota; Gammaproteobacteria; Enterobacterales; Enterobacteriaceae.
AAGGCUAAAUACUCCUGACUGACCGAUAGUGAACCAGUACCGUGAGGGAAAGGCGAAAAGAACCCCGGCGAGGGGAGUGAAAAAGAACCUGAAACCGUGUACGUACAAGCAGUGGGAGCACGCUUAGGCGUGUGACUGCGUACCUUUUGUAUAAUGGGUCAGCGACUUAUAUUCUGUAGCAAGGUUAACCGAAUAGGGGAGCCGAAGGGAAACCGAGUCUUAACUGGGCGUUAAGUUGCAGGGUAUAGACCCGAAACCCGGUGAUCUAGCCAUGGGCAGGUUGAAGGUUGGGUAACACUAACUGGAGGACCGAACCGACUAAUGUUGAAAAAUUAGCGGAUGACUUGUGGCUGGGGGUGAAAGGCCAAUCAAACCGGGAGAUAGCUGGUUCUCCCCGAAAGCUAUUUAGGUAGCGCCUCGUGAAUUCAUCUCCGGGGGUAGAGCACUGUUUCGGCAAGGGGGUCAUCCCGACUUACCGA